UACCCUUAGACCCCUGCACAAAGGCAACGGCGCAUUCCUGCAUCUUGAACCGAAGAAUAACAGAAGGGAACAAAGAAUCAGAAACGAACCCGCCCCUCUUGAACAAGAACCCAGCGCACAAGCUGAAAUUUCCUUGAAAAUUUGGAUUUAAGACUAUACAAAGGCAACAAUUGAAACCAAGUUCAUUUUCAGAUCACUUUUUCAUCUGUUUUCUUUCAAAAAAAUAAUUGAAUUUGCUUUCCAAUUUGCUGCUGUUCGCUGGAGUCUUUGCUGAGUUUCAGACCCGCUGAUUCUAGCUUUGUUUGGCUUUCUUCUCUUCUAAAUGUGAACUUUGUGCAACGAGAAAAUUGUUAGAUCUCGAGGCAGAGGUGAUACUUCCAAGUGGAGGAGAGAACCUUCUAGGGGUCGAGGCAAGAGUUCUCUAUCCCUCGCCCUACAGAGGAUAAUCACAAAGAAAGCUAAAGCCGGCCGAGAGAGAGAUGCAGAGCCCUCCAAUUUCAGUUCUUAUGUCCCAUAUAGGGAUGCUUCAGAGGGCAACUCAGUUCAAGAGUAGCCAACUGUCCAAUCAAAGCCACGAAGAUGGUAUCAACUGAUUGGGUGGACUGAGUGACUGUGAGGACUGAGUGACUGGGAGGACGGAGUGAAUCGAUACUCUAAGAAUAUUGGAUGCUGAUGUUGCUGCAUACCGCGGGGGCUAGAUUUGACGAUGUACCUGCAUUCCAGUUAUGGAUCUCACUUGUUCUUAGUAGAAUUAGAUUUAGAUUCGGUUCACUUACAUUUCAACAGAUGUUGUAACUAUUUCAAUUCAGCUUUGUAAAAAAAUCUAAUUCUUAGAAGCUCAUGAUUUGUACUACCUGUCCUUGGGAAAUUCUUUGCAUCAAAGCAGUUGUAUUAUCAUUUCUUCUCUUGAUAAAUCUCAUUAAAUUGGAUAGUUGUUAAUUUUCUUACCUAGCGGGUUGGGUUAGUGCCAUCAUGACUGUCGGAUUUUGGGUCGUGACACUUGAACUCAUUCAUACUUAACUUGUAUUCUAACUAUGUUGUUGCUUUAUUUACUGGUUGUUUAUUGUUGCCAUUCGUGCUUC
Long non-coding RNA from Nicotiana attenuata, 1082 nucleotides. RefSeq lists it as uncharacterized. The transcript has 3 exons. Lineage: Eukaryota; Viridiplantae; Streptophyta; Magnoliopsida; Solanales; Solanaceae. The record is from RefSeq and is a predicted model, not a curated record.